UUGAAAGGGAAACGAUUGAAGUCAGUCGUGCUGGCGCGAAAUCAACCUUCUCGUCUUGAGAUCACAUGGCGUGGCGAGCCUCAAAACCGUCACGAAGCGUGAACUCUUGGUGAAAUGGAGCACUUUCGUGUCCGCUGGUUAACAUCAAUUUCGAACGUCAUAAAAAGGCUGGAGGGAUGCGGCUCCUUCGGGAGUGUUAUAACCUUUAGCGGAAUGUGGUGUUCGGGAUUGAGGAUUGCAACGAAUACCUUUAGGGCUGUUCCACCUGGCUUCUCUUUGGUAUCCUGGUGACGACAGCUUGCUGACGUCGUUAGGAUUCGCCUUUGAACAGGUUAGAGUGUGAGCAAAUUCGUUAAGGAUGUUGACGUA
Molecule: ribosomal RNA, 369 nt
Filed under: uncultured Glomeromycotina
Lineage: Eukaryota; Fungi; Glomeromycota
Description: LSU rRNA
Source: RNAcentral